RNAcentral lists this non-coding RNA (26 nucleotides) under Homo sapiens (human). The record is from RNAcentral. Lineage: Eukaryota; Metazoa; Chordata; Mammalia; Primates; Hominidae.
UGUUGAUGACGUGUGUGCAAAGCAGG